Molecule: ribosomal RNA, 472 nt
Filed under: uncultured delta proteobacterium
Lineage: Bacteria; Deltaproteobacteria
Description: bacterial SSU rRNA
Rfam family: Bacterial small subunit ribosomal RNA
Source: RNAcentral
CGUGAGUGAAGAAGGCCUUCGGGUCGUAAAGCUCUGUCAAGUGGGAAAAAAUACUCAGGGUAAAUAGCCUUGAGUCUUGAUGGUACCACUGGAGGAAGCACCGGCUAACUCCGUGCCAGCAGCCGCGGUAAUACGGAGGGUGCAAGCGUUGAUCGGAAUUAUUGGGCGUAAAGAGCGUGUAGGCGGUAUGGUAAGUCAGAUGUGAAAGCCCUGGGCUCAACUCAGGAAGUGCAUUUGAUACUGCUAUACUUGAGUAUGGGAGAGGAGAGUGGAAUUCCCAGUGUAGAGGUGAAAUUCGUAGAUAUUGGGAGGAACACCCGUGGCGAAGGCGGCUCUCUGGACCAAUACUGACGCUGAGACGCGAAAGCGUGGGGAGCAAACAGGAUUAGAUACCCUGGUAGUCCACGCCGUAAACGAUGAGAACUAGGUGUAGCGGGUAUUGACCCCUGCUGUGCCGGAGUUAACGCAUUAA